UACGUAGGGGGCAAGCGUUGUCCGGAAUUAUUGGGCGUAAAGAGCGUGUAGGCGGUCCGGUAAGUCGGCUGUGAAAGUCCAGGGCUCAACCCUGGGAUGCCGGUCGAUACUGCCGGACUAGAGUUCGGAAGAGGCGAGUGGAAUUCCCGGUGUAGCGGUGAAAUGCGCAGAUAUCGGGAGGAACACCUAUGGCGAAGGCAGCUCGCUGGGACGUUACUGACGCUGAGACGCGAAAGCGUGGGGAGCGAACAGG
RNAcentral lists this ribosomal RNA (253 nucleotides) under uncultured bacterium. RNAcentral's name for it is "partial 16S ribosomal RNA". It matches the Rfam family "Bacterial small subunit ribosomal RNA", at positions 524 to 776 of the family's 1533-position model. The record is from RNAcentral.